Molecule: ribosomal RNA, 497 nt
Filed under: uncultured bacterium
Lineage: Bacteria
Description: partial 16S ribosomal RNA
Rfam family: Bacterial small subunit ribosomal RNA
Source: RNAcentral
GAUGAACGCUGGCGGCGUGCCUAAUACAUGCAAGUCGAGCGAACAGACGAGGAGCUUGCUCCUCUGACGUUAGCGGCGGACGGGUGAGUAACACGUGGCUAACCUACCUAUAAGACUGGGAUAACUUCGGGAAACCGGAGCUAAUACCGGAUAAUAUAUUGAACCGCAUGGUUCAAUAGUGAAAGACGGUUUUGCUGUCACUUAUAGCUGGAUCCGCGCCGCAUUAGCUAGUUGGUAAGGUAACGGCUUACCAAGGCAACGAUGCGUAGCCGACCUGAGAGGGUGAUCGGCCACACUGGAACUGAGACACGGUCCAGACUCCUACGGGAGGCAGCAGUAGGGAAUCUUCCGCAAUGGGCGAAAGCUUGACGGAGCAACGCCGCGUGAGUGAUGAAGGUCUUCGGAUCGUAAAACUCUGUUAUUAGGGAAGAACAAAUGUGUAAGUAACUAUGCACGUCUUGACGGUACCUAAUCAGAAAGCCACGGCUAACUACGUG